This 2836-nucleotide long non-coding RNA is filed under the name Marmota monax (woodchuck). The stretch from base 2017 to 2086 matches the Rfam family "tRNA". The record is from RNAcentral. Lineage: Eukaryota; Metazoa; Chordata; Mammalia; Rodentia; Sciuridae.
AAAAAAAAGAUUCAGAGAGAAACUAGUUGAUGUUGCUGUACCAUACAUGAAGGAUCAUCUGUCUCUUUUCAUAAAUUUGUACAUAUUGUACGUUUCAUUGAGGUACAGAUUUAAUUUCAAUUAGAGUGAGAUUGUUUACAUUUUUGUGGGUGAUGUUAUAGCACCUAGCUAAUAUAAUAAGUACUUGGAUGAUUUACUGGAAAUCUAACUUCAAAAACUGGGUCAUUUAAUACUUAAAGGCAUCUUAUAUACUUGUGAAUUUUAGAUAUUAUUUGUUACAUUGCAUUCAGUGCCUUAAGUUAUUAGUCUAAAAAAAAGCCAGUAAUUUCUUGGGUCCAGAAAUUUUACGUACAGAAAAUUUGUGUCUUUAUAGGAACUCAAGGACAUCUAAAAUUACAAACUUUGUGCACUUUUACUUUUGAGUGUAUUAAGUUGUGGCGGACGUAUUAGUCAUCUAUAAUGGUGCCUGUGAUUACUCGACCAUGAAGAACUGGGCAUACACACUCAGCAUGGUAAACAGCAAGUUCCCAACUGAUUUUCUUCUCUGAUCGUCACAGCAGUUAAUAUGUGCUUGACCCAGGCUCCUUGUGUAACUCAAAGAAAGUGAAGGAUUUCAUAAAACUUGGUAAAGUGCUAUUUAAAACAGUUACAAUUAACCUCAGAGCUAAAAAAAAUAAAAAUAAAAAAUAAAAAAAAUAUAAAAAACCAACGAAGCUCUGAUCUCACUCAUAUAACUGGAAAAAGUCAGAGAAACAAAAUGUUAACUACUCUUUUGAAACCCAAAAAAAGAACUAAAUUUGCAGGGCAAACAGCUGACCUAAAACACAGAGAGUCCCCUCCAGGAAGGAGGCUGACCCUGGGCAUUGCUUAUGUGGGAUCGUUCCCAAGGUCAUAAAGCCAAUUAGAAGAUUCAGCUGGAAACAUUUAGCAAAUUGCUAAAGGUCAGAUGUGGGGGUCACAAGGGCAGGCCACAAACCCAGGAAGGGUAGUUUUCUCUAGCGGGUUGUGGCCCCACCAGGCACCCACGGGGAACACCUGGGAGAAUCCUGAGAGCCUGCCCUAUGGCCUCAUUCGGGGGAGGGGAAGGCAGCCUCUGUGAGCCUGCAUCCCAACCCUUCUCCUCUCUCCCUUGGGUCAGAGCCUUCAUCUACAGAGACACAGAACUACAGCCUGAGGGCACGGAGGACCCCACACCCCAAAACUCAACUCUAACUCAUCUCUCCUGUCCUUCCUAAGCACAAAGCAAGGUGGACACCCACUGUACUUCGGGAGGGGAAUAGGAGAAAACUAACCCUGCCCUGGGGGAAGAGGCUGGCGUGUGUGUGCCAAUGCUGUCGUAUCUGGAGGAAAGGCAGGGACGCUGGUGAACAGCCCAUCAAGACCACGUUCACAGUGCCUGUCAAGGGUGGAGGGGUCAUCAGACAUCAGACACCAGCUUCCCUCCCCAGCUCUCCAACCACCACACUAAGGAGCCCUGAGUCCUAGUAACAUGGGGUACAACCGGGAGAGCCAUGCAGAGGAAGGUCCCCAAGCCAAGGGCAAGACUCAACAGCCACACAGAGAGCAGACUUCACACCCUGCCCAGCAAACCAUCCUCCACCCCAAAGGUCCAGCUGGACAAAGGUGUUCUUAUGGCCAAGCAUGUAUUUUUUUUCUCAGAAUAUAUAUGUGCUUUUUUCUCAGAAUCUACUGUUGUAGACAACAUAUUUGGCUUUCAACAAAAAAACAAAAUAUGUGACAACCAAAAAAGCAAGAAGCAGCAGUCUGAAGGGGCAAAGCCAUCAUCAAGGUCAGCAUUACAUAGGACGCAGGGAAGGUGCUGGGGCUGGGGCUGAGUGGUAGCGCACUUGCCUGGUGUGUGUAAGGAACUGGGUUCAAUUCUCAGCACCGCAUGUAAAUAAAUAAAAUAUUGGUCCGUCAACAACUAAAUAAAUAUUUUUUUAAAAAAAUUAUGAGAAUUUAAAUGGCUACUUCUAAUAUGAUAAUGGCCCUUAAAGAAAAUGGAGACAGUGGGCUGGGGAUGUGGCUCAAGUGGUAGAGCGCUUACCUAGCAUGUGUGAGGCACUGGGUUCGAUUCUCAGCACCACAUAAAAAUGAAAUAAAGAUAUUGUGUCCACCUAAAACAAAAAAAAUAAAUAUUAAAAAAAAGAAAAUGGACACAGCAUGCAAAAUAAUAUAUUAGUAAUUUUGCCAGAGAGAUGGAAACUACUAGGAGGGAGCCCAAUGAAACAAUUAGAAAUGGAAAACACAGAAAGAUGAAAAAUGAAUUUAUCAAUAGACAAAUAGAAUCAUUGAACACAAAGAUAAGUGAGUAGAAGUCACGCACACUGAAAUGCAAAGAGAUUGAAAGAAAACAAAUAGAAAUGAGCAUUGAAGACCUGAAGUGUUUAAAUGAUUUAAUACUCGUGUGAUUAGAAUCCCAGAAGGAGGAAAAAAGAGAACAAGGCAGAAGAAAUCAUGGGGAAAAUGUCCAAAAUUAAUGGCAGACACCAAAGCAUAUAUCCCAGAAACUCAAGCUUCAAGAGUACCUGGCAAGAUAAAUACCAGCACACACACACACACACACACACACACACACACACACACACACACACACACUAAGGGGUAUCUAGCCCCUGAAAACCAAAGAGAGAAAAAUCUUGAAGUUAGUGGGAGGUAAAGCUGUGUUGCCUAGAGAGGACCCAGUGUAGGAAGUACAUCAGACCACUCUCCAAAACCAGGCAAGCAAGAAGACGGUGGAACAGCAUCCUCUCCUUAACAAAAACAUUCUUCAAAAGGGAAGGACAAAUAGCCAGGGGCAAUGGCGCACUCCGGGGACUGAGGCAGGAGGAUGGUG